RNAcentral lists this transfer RNA (74 nucleotides) under Sorghum bicolor (sorghum). It matches the Rfam family "tRNA". Rfam says of the family: Transfer RNA (tRNA) molecules are approximately 80 nucleotides in length. Lineage: Eukaryota; Viridiplantae; Streptophyta; Magnoliopsida; Poales; Poaceae. The record is from Rfam by way of RNAcentral.
AGGGAUGUAGCUCAACCGGUAGAGCGUUUAUCUAUGUGUGAAAAAGGUACGGGGUUCAACUCCUCGCAUCUCUA